AUGGUAUUGGUUGCCAUUCAACCAGAAGAGAAUAUGGUAUUGGUUGCCAUUCAACCAGAAGAGUCGAUGAUGGAGCGACAGGAACCGGCAGCCAAACACCGGAAUCCAGCAGGCGCCAUUGUUCGUGCAGCCAAUCACCGGAAUCCAGCAUGCGCCAUUGUUCAUGCUCAAGCACCACCAAAGAUUCGCUCAGGGAACAAAUCAUUUGUUCAGCUUGAUGAAGAUGGGGCUUCUCCCCUUCCGCAUCUUUCCUCCCACCACCAUGGUGAUACGGAAAGAAUAGAAUGGAAAGAAUCAUCUCCAGAUCUAGGAAGAUUCAAAGCUCCGAGCUUAUUCGAGGAGUCGUUGGCGGCGCACACCACAGAAGCAGCUGGCCACCAGCCACCACCAAGACCACCGCCCCCGAACGCCAUCAACCGCUGCUCACCUACGGCGGCAACAUACUCCCCAUUAGCAUAG
Molecule: ribosomal RNA, 459 nt
Filed under: Triticum aestivum (bread wheat)
Lineage: Eukaryota; Viridiplantae; Streptophyta; Magnoliopsida; Poales; Poaceae
Description: partial small subunit ribosomal RNA
Source: RNAcentral